GACGUAGGGACCAAGCGUUGUUCGGAUUUACUGGGCGUAAAGGGCGCGUAGGCGGCGUGACAAGUCACUUGUGAAAUCUCUGAGCUUAACUCAGAACGGCCAAGUGAAACUGUUGUGCUAGAGUGCAGAAGGGGCAAUCGGAAUUCUUGGUGUAGCGGUGAAAUGCGUAGAUAUCAAGAGGAACACCUGAGGUGAAGACGGGUUGCUGGGCUGACACUGACGCUGAGGCGCGAAAGCCAGGGGAGCAAACGGG
Molecule: ribosomal RNA, 253 nt
Filed under: uncultured bacterium
Lineage: Bacteria
Description: partial 16S ribosomal RNA
Rfam family: Bacterial small subunit ribosomal RNA
Source: RNAcentral